This 253-nucleotide ribosomal RNA is filed under the name uncultured microorganism. Its description in RNAcentral is "partial 16S ribosomal RNA". It matches the Rfam family "Bacterial small subunit ribosomal RNA", at positions 524 to 776 of the family's 1533-position model. The record is from RNAcentral.
UACGUAGGGUGCGAGCGUUAAUCGGAUUUACUGGGCGUAAAGCGUGCGCAGGCGGCCCGUUAAGACAGGUGUGAAAUCCCUGGGCUCAACCUAGGAAUUGCACUUGUGACUGGCGGGCUCGAGUACGGUAGAGGGGGGUGGAAUUCCUGGUGUAGCAGUGAAAUGCGUAGAGAUCGGGAGGAACACCGAUGGCGAAGGCAGCCCCCUGGGCCUGUACUGACGCUCAUGCACGAAAGCGUGGGGAGCAAACAGG